Molecule: ribosomal RNA, 595 nt
Filed under: Adelie penguin guano bacterium 27
Lineage: Bacteria
Description: bacterial SSU rRNA
Rfam family: Bacterial small subunit ribosomal RNA
Source: RNAcentral
GAUUGGCGGAGCGGUGAGUCACACGUGAGUAUCCUGCCCUGUACUCAGGGAUAAUCCUAGAAAACGGGGUCUGUUACUGAAUAUUGACUCACCACCGCGUGGUGGUUGGUUGAAAGAUUGAUGGGCAUCGGGAUAGACUCACUGUGUGUAUGCGCCUGAUGGUGAGGUAAUGGCUCACCAAGGCGACGACGGGUAGCCGGCCUGAGAGGGUGACCGGCCACACUGGGACUGAGACACGGCCCAGACUCCUACGGGAGGCAGCAGUGGGGAAUAUUGCACAAUGGGCGAAAGCCUGAUGCAGCGACGCCGCGUGAGGGAUGACGGCCUUCGGGUUGUAAACCUCUUUCAGUAGGGAACAAGGCCAGUGUUUAGCUGGUUGAGGGUACUUGCAGAAGAAGCGCCGGCUAACUACGUGCCAGCAGCCGCGGUAAUACGUAGGGCGCAAGCGUUAUCCGGAAUUAUUGGGCGUAAAGAGCUCGUAGGCGGUUUGUCGCGUCUGCCGUGAAAGUCCGGGGCUCAACCCCGGAUCUGCGGUGGGUACGGGCAGACUAAAGUUAUGUAGGGGAGACUGGAAUUCCUGGUGUUACCGGUGAAA